This 71-nucleotide transfer RNA is filed under the name Neoasterolepisma foreli. RNAcentral's name for it is "tRNA-Asn". The record is from RNAcentral. Lineage: Eukaryota; Metazoa; Arthropoda; Insecta; Zygentoma; Lepismatidae.
UUAAUUGAAGCCAAAGGGGAGAGGCAUAUUACUGUUAAUAAUAGAAAUGAGAUAAAUUAUCUCCAAUUAAG